AUGUCUAGCUUUUGGUGGGGAGAUACUGAAGAACAAAAGAAAAUGCAUUGGUGGGCGUGGUGGAAGAUGUGUGUACCAAAAAAGAAUGGAGGUAUGGGGUUUAGGGACUUGCACGCUUUUAAUCUCGCUAUGUUAGCAAAGCAAAGUUGGAGGUUGAUCACAAAACCAAAUUCUUUGUGUGCGACUAUUCUUAGAGAAAAGUAUUACCCCGAUGGCAAUUUACUGAAAGCGGGUCCGAAGAAGGGAUCCUCUUUUACUUGGCAGAGCAUAAUUGCUGGGCUACGCACAUUUAUGAGAGGACACAUAUGGAGAGUUGGUACUGGAGCAAAUAUCAACAUAUGGGAGGACCAUUGGGUGCCUGGCAUUCCGAACAGGAAAGUAAUAACUGUGAAAGGACAAAGACUUCUACAAAAUGUAGAUGAUUUAAUUGAUCCCUUUACAGGACAGUGGGAUGAGGCUUUGAUUAGAGAUAAUUUUAUUUGGGUGGAUGUGGAUUCUCGUUCUCGGUUCGAUCAGCUUAUUAUGUGGAAUGGGAACAUCAAUUUGGUGCUCAAACUAGGUGGGGGGAUGGUCAAGGAGCUAUGA
RNAcentral lists this ribosomal RNA (585 nucleotides) under Triticum aestivum (bread wheat). RNAcentral describes it as "partial small subunit ribosomal RNA". The record is from RNAcentral. Lineage: Eukaryota; Viridiplantae; Streptophyta; Magnoliopsida; Poales; Poaceae.